CCUACGGGGGGCAGCAGUGGGGAAUAUUGGGCAAUGGGCGAAAGCCUGACCCAGCAACGCCGCGUGAAGGAAGAAGGCUUUCGGGUUGUAAACUUCCUUUGACAGGGAAGAGCAGAAGACGGUACCUGCCGAAUAAGCCACGGCUAACUACGUGCCAGCAGCCGAGGUAAUACGUAGGUGGGAAGUGGUGUCCGGAUUUACUGGGUGAAAAGGGCGUGUAGCCGGGCUGACAAGUCAGAUGUGAAAUCCGGGGGCUCAACCCCCGAACUGCAUUUGAAACUGUUAGUCUUGAGUAUCGGAGAGGCAGGCGGAAUUCCUGGUGUAGCGGUGAAAUGCGUAGAUAUUAGGAGGAACACCAGUGGCGAAGGCAGCCUGCUGGACGACAACUGACGGUGAGGCGCGAAAGCGUGGGGAGCAAACAGGAUUAGAUACCCUAGUAGUC
RNAcentral lists this ribosomal RNA (442 nucleotides) under uncultured bacterium. RNAcentral's name for it is "partial 16S ribosomal RNA". It matches the Rfam family "Bacterial small subunit ribosomal RNA", at positions 338 to 795 of the family's 1533-position model. The record is from RNAcentral.